This 478-nucleotide ribosomal RNA is filed under the name uncultured bacterium. Its description in RNAcentral is "partial 16S ribosomal RNA". It matches the Rfam family "Bacterial small subunit ribosomal RNA", at positions 28 to 523 of the family's 1533-position model. The record is from RNAcentral.
GACGAACGCUGGCGGCGUGCUUAACACAUGCAAGUCGAGCGAUGAAGUUCCUUCGGGAAUGGAUUAGCGACGGACGGGUGAGUAACACGUGGGUAACCUGCCUCAUAGAGGGGAAUAGCCUUCUGAAAGGAAGAUUAAUACCGCAUAAGAUCGUAGUUUCGCAUGAAACAGCAAUUAAAGGAGUAAUCCGCUAUGAGAUGGACCUGCGUCUCAUUAGCUAGUUGGUGAGGUAACGUCUCAACCAGGCGACGAUGCGUAGCCGACCUGAGAGGGUGAUCUGCUACAUUGGGACUGAAACACGGCGCAGACACCUACAGGAGGCCGCAGUGGGGAAUAUUGCUCAAUGGGGGAAACCCUGAUGCAGCGACGCCGCGUGAGUGAUGACGGUCUUCGGAUUGUAAAACUCUGUCUUCAGGGACGAUAAUGACGGUACCUGAAGAGGAAGCAACGGCUAACUACGUGCCAGCCGCCGCGGUAA